This is a long non-coding RNA of Eriocheir sinensis (Chinese mitten crab), 657 nucleotides long. RefSeq lists it as uncharacterized. Lineage: Eukaryota; Metazoa; Arthropoda; Malacostraca; Decapoda; Varunidae. The transcript has 2 exons. The record is from RefSeq and is a predicted model, not a curated record.
ACCUAGAUUGCAAGUAGCGUAAGUUAACAAUAGAGUAAAGCAACAGUUAAUGUCCGCAUGACAGGUGGAGUGAGGUGUGGGUGCAGUAAGGUGACAGGUUACUGGUGCGUGCCUAGUACCGCCGGUAAAACGAGGAUCAAGCCUCCACCUCACCCAUCAAACCCUCCACACUCUGACCUGUGUGUUGGCCCGCCAUGUGUACGCCCUCGGCCUCAGCAGUCUGCCGCUGGAGCGCGUCGGUGAACGGCGACUCGUCAGGAGGGGCUUCACCAAGCGCUCCGGCCUGGAUGUUAGUGCUGAGUGUUGCCGCCCGGACAGUGAAGUCGGUUAGUCUGAAUUGGUCUUAGAAAUCACUACGUUUACCUCAGUUUACUAAGGAGGAAAUUACACUGAAAUCUAGGCGUCCGGAUUCUGAUGUGCAGGGAUUUCUAAGGGAUGUGAGUGCCUGAGUGUUGCUGUUGGUGUCGUGGAAGUCCAGGAGUCUGAAUUGGUCUGAAAAAUCCCAGUAAAAUUUAUUUUUGCUAACUGGGAUUUUGUAAGCUGAAAUAUAGUUGUCCAAAUUCUGAAAUGCAGGAAAUUCAUAAAAGUAACAAGUGCCAGAGUGUUGGUAGUGAUUCAGUAACAGUCUGUCAGUACAAAUUCCAUUGCUCUGAAGAA